This 9483-nucleotide long non-coding RNA is filed under the name Prunus persica (peach). Its description in RNAcentral is "long non-coding RNA (PPER_LNC002972)". The record is from RNAcentral. Lineage: Eukaryota; Viridiplantae; Streptophyta; Magnoliopsida; Rosales; Rosaceae.
ACUAUGUAAAAUAAUAGGGCUACAACUUUGUGUUUACAAUAUGUAUGGCUCACUCAAUUUUCUCUCUUGGAGAAUUUCUCUCUUGCUCUCUUUCCUCUCAACUCUCUCACCCUCUUUCUUCCUUCUCUUCCUCUUCUCUAUGUGUAAACUUCUCUUGAUGGAAGUAUCUAUUUAUAGGCCUAAGACAUUGGUUGUUCACCUCACAAUAUAAGUGGUAGACAACAUCAUUAAUAUUCUUCAAUCAACAACAUCAUUAAUAUUCUUCAAUCAACAACAUCAUUAAUAUUCUUCAAUCAACAACAUCAUUAAUAUUCUUCAAUCAAUUGGGUAGUGGUUUGGUUUGGUGGGUAUGUGGUUAGGUUUAGUGGAUGUUAGUUGGCUAUGUGGGCUUCACCUAUUCUUCUUUACUUAUUCUUCUUUUACAACAUAUAUAUAUAUAUAAUAUUUGUUAAUAGAUACAUAUAUUAUACACAUUAAAAAAAGCAGUGGCCAUAAAAAAUCAGGGACCCUGUGCGGUGGCACCACUUGCACACCUUUAGAGCCACCCCUGCCACCACCACCUCUGAGAGGUUUCAGAAAUAUAACAAACUUUUUAUUUCUUUAAUUUCUUAUAUGUAAUUAGUUAGGAGAGCUCGACUGAAAUUGAAAAAUAUUUGGUUUGCUAGCUAUUGCUGCUAGAAGGAGUGUGAAGGAAUAAUUUGACAAAUUCCUCUGCUAAUUUUAAUAGGCGUGGAAGGCAUUUUUCUGUCAUUUUAUGCAAAAGGAAGGCCAUUAUCCACAUAUAACUAUACCACUAAGCAAAUGAGGCCGUUGACUCACGAAGUAAGUCAUUGUCAUACUAAUACUAUGCUGUCAUAAGCAAGUGAUCAAAUGAAAAGUGUUACUAGUGAAGUGUGUACAUGUCAUGUCUUUAUCGGAAGCUGUUAUUAACACUUCAAAAUAGUCAUUUUACACUCAUUUUUUAUCGCUUUGAUCUCAUUUUUAUAGAAAGCUGUUAUUGAAUAUUGUAUGAGAAUAGUAAAUUAUGAUUAUUUUGGAGUGCCAAUAACAUCUUCUUUUUUAUUAUUACGGAAUUGAACGUAUAUAGGUAAAGUCUCGACUCGACUCAACUUGCACAUUGACUCUUGGGCUGCGCUAAGUGAGCCUAGCUAGCUGUAACCAAAAUAUAUAGCCCAUGGGCUUCUAUGGUUUGUGAGUCAUGCAAGAUAGAGAUCCCGACUCCAAAGUUAGGUUGAGUUUGCCCAUAAAACUUCUACACCCAAAAUUCAAAGUCUUAUCUACAAAAUGAGUCACUUGGCUAAUCAUACCAAAAUUGAAGUUUGACCACAACUUGACGUUGAGGAACAAACACCCCUAUCUCCAAGUUAUAUAUAUGUAGAAAUUGACAAAUGUGUGUAGAUUGAGAACUUGAACCUUCUCCAAUUAUUUUCCCCGCACAUAGAGAGCUCGGAUUCUAAUGAAAAGAUUGGAAUAUUGUUGAUAAUGUUGGCGUGACUUGUGGAUAUUGACUUACUUUCCUUACACACCAAGAAUUCCUAUUAUAAUUGUAAUUGAUUUGCUUUAAUUUCUGAUUUCCUACUAUAAAUAGAUUUAGGAAUUUAUUAUUUACUUGCCCAUUCAGGUUUUGUUGUAUUAUAAAUAUGACCUCCUACAAUGAGAAGAAUACACAGAAAAUUCCCAGAAUAGUUUUCAUAUUUUAGCAUGGUAUCAGAGCGGCGAUCUUGGAAUUGCUAACUCUAAUUUCAAACCCCCGCCGCCGCUAUGGGGGUUGAUGAUUUUUUCAACCCUCAUGGAGGCAGCACCACCGACUCCUUCUCUCAUUCUCAACCAACCAUCAUUGAGUUGAGUGCCCAGAUGGCUCUGCCCUUACAGAUGCAGACUUUGACCCCGAACUCGAUCCAGAAUCAGGAUCCUCUUUUGACGAACUCGAUCCAGAAUCAGGAUCCUCUUUUGACGACCUCGACCCCGACCCCGACUAUGACAACGACGACCCCGACCCCGACUCUGAAGACGACCUCGACCCCCACUCCGAUGAUGACCCCAACCCUGAAUUUGUCUAUGAUUCAGACCCCAAUCCCGAUUUCGAUUCCGACUCCGGCCCCGACUCAGGCUAAGAUUCCGAUCCAAAUUCCUACUCAACCUGUACCCUAUGCAUCUUCCGCCGCACAGAUUAUGACUUCUAGACUAACGAUCCCGACACAUGGACCAAAUUGCGCAUAUUGUGGUGAUCCGAGACACACUUGUGAGACUUGUUUUAAAUCGCAUGGCUACCCCGAUUGGUGGGCUACUCUUACAGAUCGAGGACAAUGCAAUAUGACCAGUAAUGGUACUGGUUAUGGAUUCCAUACUUUCGAUAAGAUUGAUUCCAAGAGCUGGAUAAUUGAUUCUGGUGCAACUGAUCAUGUGACUUUGAUCUUGAUGAUUUUCUGAAUACUACACAACCUCGACGAACCUGUAUUGCAAAUGCCAAUGGUGUUACUUAUCCUGUGACAGGGGCUGGCACUGUUGCACUCUCAUCCUCUCUCACACUGUCUAAUACUUUACUUGUUCCAUCUUUAUCCACUAAAUUGUUGUCAGUUAGUCAGCUUACUGAACAAUUGAAUUGUUGUGUACUCAUUUACCCGAGUUUUUGUUUGCUUCAGGAUAUUCACACUAAGGAGAUUCUUGGUCGUGGUACUAAGAGAAGGGGGCUAUAUUAUGUCGAUGACUUCAGUCCCGGCGUGGCUAACAGUGUGACACAUCCCUUUGAUAGCAAACAAAAGCAAAUCUGGUUGUGGCAUCGUUGAUUGGGACAUUCGUCUUUUAGUUAUAUGAAGCAUCUUAUACUAGAUUUAUUCUCAGGUUUCAAAGACUCCGACUUCACAUGUGAUACAUGUAUUUUGGCCAAGAGUCACUGUGUGCCCUACCCGUUGAGUACGAACAAGUGUACUACUCCAUUUACGUUAAUUCACUCUGAUGUCUGGGGACCUUCGCCUAUCACUGCUCCUUCUGGGGUUCGAUGGUUUGUCACAUUCAUCUAUGAUUGUACACGGAUGACAUGGCUUUAUUUGCUGAAGAAUAAAAACGAAGUGUUUUCCCAUUUUCAGUCCUUCCACAAACAUAUGAAAACUCAGUUUAAUGCUCAAAUCCAGAUUCUUCGCUCAGACAAUGGUGGAGAAUUUGUCAAUCAUGACUUUUAGAACUACUUCCAACAACAUGGAAUUAUCCAUGAGACGACUUGUCCUCAGACACCGCAACAAAAUGGUGUUGCUGAACGAAAGAAUCGAUAUCUUCUUGAAACCGCCCGAGCACUUUUGAUUGGUGGUCAUGUUCCUCGCCAUCGCUGGGAUGAUGCUAUUGUCAUUGCAGUUCACCUGAUCAACCGCAUGCCUUCUGGUGUAUUGACCUUUAAAACUCCCUUACAGGUGCUUGCGCAACACAGACCUUUGCCCUCUGUUUUGGUACUCACACCCCGAAUCUUUGGAUGUGUGGCUUUCGUUCAUCUCCACAAAAAUCAACAUAGCAAACUUGAUCCCUGUGCGCUUCGUUGUAUUUUUAUGGGUUAUGCCACUCAUCAGAAAGGUUACCGCUGUUAUCACCCUCCUACCCAACGAACCUAUGUCACUUUGGAUGUGACCUUUCUAGAAUCUGAGAUGUUCUUCCAUGACCCAUCAUCCAAUUCUGCGCCUCAGGGGGAGAUACGAAGUGAAGAGCAGAAUUGGAGCAACUUGGAAAACAUUUCUCCUAUGUAUAGAAAUGAUUGAUCAUCCCGAGUCUAGAGCACGAGAUUACUCUCUGUUGAAAAGCGACCAAUCGCCCAUUCAUAGCGAUCAAUUGCCUGACCCACCUGAUCCAUGCGAAGAUAUUUCUUAUCCGAGUCUCACACCUACAGACAGUAUAGAACAACAAGAUGAAGACCCCCUUCUAACUCAACAGUACCAACAGACUUGUGCAUUUAGAUGAUAAAACUAUUGGAUAUCAAUUACCUUUCAGGCAAAAUCGUGGGAAGCCACCAAACCGUUAUUCACCUGAUAUUCGAAAGAUAUCCAAGUAUCCAAUUGCAAAUCAUGUAUCCACUGAGAAGCUGUCUGAACCACUAAAGACUUUUGUGCAUCAGUUGUCUGCUAUCCAUAUUCCAACCAAGGUCUCUGAAGUAUUGAAAGAUCCUAAGUGGGUCCAAGCUAUAAAAGAGGAGAUGAAAGCUCUUGAGAAAAAAUCAGACUUGGACAUUGGAGACUAUACCACGAGGAAAAAAGACUAUCGAAUGUAGAUGGGUGUUUACUAUAAAUGUAAUAUCCCAAAUCAAAAAUUCAUAAUUAAGGAAUAUUUUAUUUUGCGAAAAGACAAUUUUGCCCUCAUAAUAUUUUAUUAGGAAAAAGGUGACUUUUUGAUCGAGAAGGAAUUUGACAAUUCCGCUUGAGCCAUUGCGUAGAGCACGGUGAAACGAGUUCAUAGACAUGUAGUGGGCCCAAAUCGGAGUUGUAACGAGAAAGUUAUUGUCAAAAGAGUCUCAGUGGCAUAACCGUAAAUAUUUUGAAGUUGAAUCUAUAAAAACCAGCCAGCUCUUUCCUCUCGCGCAAAAACUGCCCGCCACCUUCCAGAGCUUGCUGGCGCCGCCUCAGGGCACCACCGGCCACGGGACCGGUGCCAAUGGAACCGCCAUCGAGUCCCCUACCUUUUCCGAACCUUCCCCGCCUACUGCACGGCCUGUGCUGGUCGGAAAUUGCAGAAAAGCGACGGAAACGCACCGAAACUUUAAGGCCGCCGAUCUCCCUCCUCCGGCCACCAUGUCUGUCGACCCAGGUAUGGAUCUUGAACCUCUCAAGCUGUUCUAGCUGCUUGUUGGGUAGGAUUAGAUCGAUUCGUAGCGUAGCCAUCGAAUUUUUGAGAUUGAAGUAUCAGACGAUUUUCGGCCUCCAUUUUCGGCCACUUCCGGCCACUUUUUGGGGUAGGUCCAAGAACAAAAGUGGCUCCAAAUAUGGUGUUUUACCUAGGGUAGGAGUUUGGAGCCAUGAUUUGAAGUUUUUCCGGCGAGCCGAAAUCGCUUUAGACACCCAUCGCUGCCGGCGCGUGCUGGGCGCGUGGGUGAGGGUAGUACAGUGGCACUGUGUCUUGUUACGAUCCUUAUGUUGUCACGAGCGCAUAGGAUUUCGUGGAUCUCAAUUUAGAUUCCGUUUGAGCCCCGAACGGAUUUUCCAUAUUGUGCGAUUCCCGGGUUCAAUAUUACCGAACCGUUGGAUCGCGCUCAAUUUCGGAUAUGUUGUUCCAGAUAAUUUCAGAAUCGUGUAGGAUUUGAUGGAUCAUGAAUCGGAGUCCCGGAUACUCCGAAAUCGCGAACCCUGGGGCUAGGGUUUGGAAAUUUUAUGAUUUCACGAUCGUGGUCAAUCUGAUCAUCAGUUUCAGACCAAACUUGCAGGAUAUGGUUCCUUAAACGUGAGGAACUUAAAGGAACUCUCAGAUUGGUCAUUGGAGGUCCUGGACCCCACGGGGUUCCGUCUCGACCAAGGUGGAAGUUUAUCGCUUAAUGAAGUCUUGAGUCUUUUCAGACGAUUGUAAAUACCUGAAAUACCUAAGUGGGCAGGAAAAUGACUUUAAAGUUAGUGCACGCACUUCUAGAAGUUGGGGGUCAGAGUUUUACUUAAAAAUUUAUACCGAGCAGUUUUAUUAAUCAAACAUUCAUGAUGGUUUACCCAGGCACCCGGGACCAGACAGGCCCGCAGGAGAGACCGUCAGGAGGUCUAGCGAGCUCGGACCAGGAGUGAGUGGACUUUCUUUCAUAAAUGAUUUUAUAUAAAUUAGUUAUAUAAAUACUUUAUAUAAAUGAGUUUACAUAAAUGAUUUUAUAUUGAUUUUAUAUAAACAAGUUUUUAUAAAUGAGUUUAUAUGAGUAAAUUUCAUUAUUUGAUUUUGAAUAAGUUUUACCGAAUGUUUUCCGAGCAUGAUUUGUGCCGUCAAAUAUCUUUAUUUCUAUGCUGCUUAGUUGAACAUGGUAGAAAGUGACAGAAAGCAGAGUUGAGAUUUAUAUCAGAGAAAAUAGCAGCUUAGUUUCAGACUUGCCAAAUACAGUGAUUUAUCAGAUUUUUCUAAAAUAUUUAUUUUUAACCACUGUGUGUACCCAGUUAUGGUGAUUACCCUCAGGUGGACCGAUGUCUACGGACAUCCAGUCUAUUUACAGUUCUGUCAGUGCACUUGACAUUGCCUCACGAGUUUCGGGGACGCUCGGACCGUGAGUGCCAGGAUUUGCGGCUCGGCAGACUUGGUGUCCUGAGACCUGCCAGGAUUUGCGGCUCGGCAGACUUCGUGUCCCGAGACCUGCCAGGAUUUGCGGCUCGGCUGACUUCGUAUCCCCGAGACCUGCCAGGAUUGCGGAUCAGGCUGACUACGGUCCCCUGAAUCCUGCCAGAGCGGCUCGAGUUGACUUUGUGUCACCGAGACCUACCAGCGGAUCAGGCUGACUAUAGACCCCUGUAUCCUGCCAGGAUUUGCGGCUCGGAUAGACUGUGUGUCGCCGAGACUUGCCAGGGGAAUUGACGGAAUUACAGGGGUACAUCCGAGUGGUAGUUUUGAUUAAUUGCAGUGCUUUAAUUCAAGUUUUGAGUACAUUGCUUUAUUGCAGGUUUGAUUUCAGCACUUUUAUCCAAAUUGAAUUUCAAUGCUUUCAUGCAAGUUUUAUUGCUCUUGAAAGCGAUUGCAUAUAUUUUUAUAAAUAUGUAACUGCGUUGACUUUCAUAUGUUUUCAAGAUAGUUUAGAUAUUCAGUUUUACUCAACUGUAUUUGAUUUCAUUGUUUUUAUGCGAGAAAUAUUGAGUUCGAAUAUUAUUUACAUAUAAUGCCUUGAGUUUAGUAUGCUUCAAAUGCAGAGUACAUAUUCAGUUUUACUUAACUAUUUUUUUACACCGGGGGUUAGUAUAUUCUUAGAUAUUUUAUGAACCUUUAUUUUUGGUCCACUCACACUUUCAACUGUUUUGCGCCCCCAGGCUGUAGCGUGCACAAGACACCCACCACCGGGCCAUCGUGACUUCCGCGCCUUCUGGUUCAAAAAUGUUGGUAUGCAAACCAAUUAAGUGAUCCGUAAGCUAUCAAAAUUGCUCUGAUAUAUUGCCCUAGAGUGAGAAUGGAACUUUUGGCAUGUUUAUUGAAGUGCUGGUUGUUGGUUGUUUGGACGAUUAUGCUCGUUAUGACAGGUGUAAGUUUUGGAUUGAACGAAAUUUAGGGGAGACUCUGCCGAAAUUUCGGUAGAAGUCAAAGUCAAAAUUUUAAGAAAAAGGGCAAAUAGGUCUUUCGUGCUUGACAUUUGCCAAGUGUCGGACACGCACAGGGUUCGACUCGAAUUCCAAAGCGGAAUUUGAUUCGGGUCCUGUCAAUAAAACACAAUGCAGAUGGAUCUAUCGAGCGAUACAAGGCAAAACUUGUGGAAAAAGGGUACACACAGACCUAUGGUAUAGACUAUGAAGAAACUUUUGCACCAGUUGCAAAGUUAAACACCGUGAGAGUUUUAUUUUCCAUUGCAGCUAAUUUGGAUUGGCCACUACCCCAGUUUGAUGUAAAGAAUGCUUUUCUACAUGGCGAACUCACGGAGGAGGUGUACAUGGACAUUCCUCCUGGAUAUAAUAUUACUCAGACUGGAACAGUUUGCAGGUUACGAAAAGCAUUGUAUGGAUUGAAACAAUCACCACGUGCAUGGUUUGGACGGUUCACCAUGGCAAUGAAGAACAAUGGUUUGAAACAGUGCAACUCAGAUCAUACUCUGUUCUUGAAACAUCGAAAAGGGAAGGUAACAGCAUUAAUAAUCUAUGUUGAUGAUAUGAUUAUUACUGGGAAUGAUAAACAGGAAAUAUCACAGCUACAAGACUAUCUGGCUACGGAGUUUGAGAUGUAGGAUCUAGGUGGACUCAAGUAUUUCUUGGGAAUUGAGGUGGCUCGAUCGCAGCAAGGCAUAUUUCUCUCUCAAAGGAAAUAUGUCUUGGACUUGUUGAUAGACACAGGAAUGCUAGAUUGAAACCUGCGGACAUUCCUAUUGUUCAUAAUCAUCAUCUUAGAGAAUAUCCAGAUCAAGUUCCAACUAACAAAGAAAGAUACCAAAAGUUAGUGGGAAGAUUAAUCUAUUUGUCACAUACUCGACCAGACAUUGCUUAUGCGGUGAGUGUUGUCAGUCAAUUUAUGCACUUUCCAAGUGAAGACCACAUGAAUGCAGUUCUUCGGAUACUUAGAUAUUUGAAGUCUGCACCUGGAAAAGGACUUAUGUUCUCAAAGCAUGGUCAUCUAAAUAUUGAUGGUUAUUCAAAUGCAGAUUGGGCAGGUAAUGUAACAGAAUCCACAUCGGGUUACUUCACAUUCAUGGGAGGUAAUUUGGUGACAUAUAGGAGCAAGAAACAGAAUGUUGUAGCUUUAUCCAGUGUAGAAGCCGAGUUCAGUGGCAUGACUAAAGGGAUUUGUGAACUUCUUUGGUUAAGAAAGUUGCUUAUUGAACUUGGGUAUAAACCUACAUCCACAAUGAAUCUCUUUUGUGACAACAAGGCUGCUAUAGCCAUUGCACAGAAUCCGAUUCAGCAUGAUCGUACUAAACAUGUUGAGGUGGAUCGACACUUCAUCAAACAAAAGCUUGAGGCUAAAGUGUUUCAGUUUCCUUUUGUGAAAUCCGAAGAUCAAUUGGCGGAUAUUUUGACAAAGGCGAUUUCCAGUAAAGCAUUCCACAAUUCACUAGAUCAGUUGGGCAUUGGCGACAUCUAUGCACCAACGUGAGGGGGAGUGUUGGCGUGACUUGUGGAUAUUGACUAACUUUCCUUACACACCAAGAAUUCCUAUUAUAAUUGUAAUUGAUUUGCUUUAAUUCCUGAUUUCCUACUGUAAAUAGAUUUAGGAAUUUAUUAUUUACUGGCCCAUUCAGGUUUCGUUGUAUUAUAAAUAUGACCUCCUAUAACGAGAAGAAUACACAGAAAAUUCCCACAAACAAAUAUUCUCUCAUAGUUUUCAUAUUUUAGCAGAUAAUACUACGGAUAAUAUGUCGACAUCAUUGUUGUCAACAAAACGUAUCGUGUUGUAAAAUAACUGGGAUAUGUGCGAAUAUUGAGCUGCACGUAAAGUAGAUGAGACACAGUAUUUAACGAGGUUCGGCUAUGCCUACGUCCCCGGAGAGCAGCACCAGUAACUUUUCCACUAUGUAAAAUAAUAAAGCUACAACUUUAGUGUUUACAAUAUAUGUGGCUCACUAAUUUUUCUCUCUUGGAGAAAUUUCUCUCCACUCUAUUUUUCUCUCUACUUACUCACCCUCUUUCUUCCUUCUCUUCCUUUCUUUCUUUCCUCACUCUUUCUUCUCUUCAUUUUGGUGUGUUUUACAAGUGAAUGAGCAAACCUAUUUAUAGGCAAAGUAACAGGCUUCUAAUGGAGACAUAAUGAUAUCUCCCCAACAUUAUAAUUUCAUCUUUUGACUAAUCUUCCUUCUUUUCUAACACCAUCAUUUUUCUUCCACCAUUUCUCUUUAUGUGGGCUUCACCAAUAUUAUUU